CGCGGCAAGACGGAAAGACCCCGUGAACCUUUACUAUAGCUUGACACUGAACAUUGAGCCUUGAUGUGUAGGAUAGGUGGGAGGCUUUGAAGCGUGGACGCCAGUCUGCGUGGAGCCGACCUUGAAAUACCACCCUUUAAUGUUUGAUGUUCUAACGUGGACCCGUGAUCCGGGUUGCGGACAGUGUCUGGUGGGUAGUUUGACUGGGGCGGUCUCCUCCUAAAGAGUAACGGAGGAGCACGAAGGUUGGCUAAUCCUGGUCGGACAUCAGGAGGUUAGUGCAAUGGCAUAAGCCAGCUUGACUGCGAGCGUGACGGCGCGAGCAGGUGCGAAAGCAGGUCAUAGUGAUCCGGUGGUUCUGAAUGGAAGGGCCAUCGCUCAACGGAUAAAAGGUACUCCGGGGAUAACAGGCUGAUACCGCCCAAGAGUUCAUAUCGACGGCGGUGUUUGGCACCUCGAUGUCGGCUCAUCACAUCCUGGGGCUGAAGUAGGUCCCAAGGGUAUGGCUGUUCGCCAUUUAAAGUGGUACGCGAGCUGGGUUUAGAACGUCGUGAGACAGUUCGGUCCCUAUCUGCCGUGGGCGCUGGAGAACUGAGGGGGGCUGCUCCUAGUACGAGAGGACCGGAGUGGACGCAUCACUGGUGUUCGGGUUGUCAUGCCAAUGGCACUGCCCGGUAGCUAAAUGCGGAAGAGAUAAGUGCUGAAAGCAUCUAAGCACGAAACUUGCCCCGAGAUGAGUUCUCCCUGAGACUUUAAGUCUCCUGAAGGAACGUUGAAGACGACGACGUUGAUAGGCCGGGUGUGUAAGCGCAGCGAUGCGUUGAGCUAACCGGUACUAAUGAACCGUGAGGCUUAACCUUACAACGCCGAAGCUGUU
Molecule: ribosomal RNA, 877 nt
Filed under: Salmonella enterica
Lineage: Bacteria; Pseudomonadati; Pseudomonadota; Gammaproteobacteria; Enterobacterales; Enterobacteriaceae
Description: partial 23S ribosomal RNA
Rfam family: Bacterial large subunit ribosomal RNA
Source: RNAcentral